GGGGGUGAACUGGUUUCGACGGAGAGAGUUGAGCGAAAGGAGCAUGCAGGGGUUGGUUACAGCGCCUCUUUAAAACGUUGUGGCAGCCAGAAGUGGCAACAAUACUAAACUCGCUCUCGCUGCCUAAUUAAGCACAGAGCCGGUGACUUGGGUGCGGCAGCACGUGCAUCCAAAAUCGCCGCUAAUUUACGUGCGGGUAUUCGUCAGCUUCUGUUCGUAGCUGAGCAUCCCUAUCAAUCGAACUGGCUUGUGUAGUAGGACGUCUUUCUCCGGCUAUCAAGUAAGAAAUCUUGAAAGAAGAAGCAUGUGGCGCCAAUUGUGAUGCCUAUCCGGACCCGGGUUCGAUCCCCGGCACCUCCACCA
Molecule: transfer-messenger RNA, 363 nt
Filed under: Silvanigrella aquatica
Lineage: Bacteria; Pseudomonadati; Bdellovibrionota; Oligoflexia; Silvanigrellales; Silvanigrellaceae
Rfam family: transfer-messenger RNA
About the family: Bacterial tmRNA, also known as 10Sa RNA or SsrA, is named for its dual tRNA and mRNA-like properties.
Source: Rfam by way of RNAcentral